AUUUGUAUAGUUUAAAAAAAACAUUACAUUUUCAUUGUAAAAUUAAACCUUGUUUUACAAAUA
Molecule: transfer RNA, 63 nt
Filed under: Sclerotia fui
Lineage: Eukaryota; Metazoa; Arthropoda; Insecta; Coleoptera; Lampyridae
Description: tRNA-Glu
Source: RNAcentral